AUUAAAGUGACAGAGUUUAAAUGUGAGGAAUUUAAGCUUCCUUUAUGAAGUUUUCCUUUAAUA
RNAcentral lists this transfer RNA (63 nucleotides) under Rhipicephalus decoloratus. Its description in RNAcentral is "tRNA-Leu". The record is from RNAcentral. Lineage: Eukaryota; Metazoa; Arthropoda; Arachnida; Ixodida; Ixodidae.